UACGAAGGGGGCUAGCGUUGUUCGGAAUUACUGGGCGUAAAGCGCACGUAGGCGGGUUGUUAAGUCAGGGGUGGAAUCCUGGAGCUCAACUCCAGAACUGCCUUUGAUACUGGCAACCUAGAGACUGGAAGAGGUUAGUGGAAUUCCCAGUGUAGAGGUGAAAUUCGUAGAUAUUCGCAAGAACACCAGUGGCGAAGGCGGCUCACUGGCCCGGUACUGACGCUGAGGUGCGAAAGCGUGGGGAGCAAACAGG
This 253-nucleotide ribosomal RNA is filed under the name uncultured bacterium. RNAcentral's name for it is "partial 16S ribosomal RNA". It matches the Rfam family "Bacterial small subunit ribosomal RNA", at positions 524 to 776 of the family's 1533-position model. The record is from RNAcentral.